Ahaetulla prasina is the source of this 7187-nucleotide RNA transcript. It is a transcript of the gene named THO complex subunit 2, with no coding region annotated. The transcript is spliced from 33 exons. NCBI's taxonomy places the organism in Eukaryota, Metazoa, Chordata, Lepidosauria, Squamata, Colubridae. The record is from RefSeq and is a predicted model, not a curated record.
GUCCCCGCCGCCGCCGCUCUUCCUUCUUAUUUCUCCUCGUCCUCCUCCGCCUCCUCCACCCCGCCCUCCUCUUCCUGCGCGAUGCGGGGCUCGCUUUCCCGGCGUGCCCUGCGCGGCCGUUCUCCGCCGUCCCCUCUGACCUCGCAGGGCCCGUCGUCGUUCUCGCAUCCGGGCUCUCCGCGCCACACGGGGAAGAUGGCGGCGGCGACAUCCGCGAUGGUGGCGGCAGCGGCGGUGGCGCUCCCGGCCGAAUGGAUCCGCAACUGGGAGAAAUCCGGCAAGAGCGAGUUCUUGCAGCUGUGUCGCGCUCUUUCUGAAAAUGCAACUUUUAGAGGUGUCCAGCAGGCCCUCUAUGAGCUUGCGUAUCAUGUCGUCAAGGGAAAUUUAAAGCACGACCAAGCAUCAAAUGUUCUUAAUGAUAUUAUAGAAUUUCGGGAUGAUAUGCCUUCCAUUCUGGCAGAUGUAUUCUGCAUAUUAGACAUCGAAACCAGUUGUUUAGAAGAAAAGAGCAAAAGAGACCAGUUCAUGCAGCUGGUGUUGGCUUGUUUGAACCUGGUUUCCGAUACUAUAUUAAAAGAGCGUCUGGAUCCAGAAACUCUGGAAUCAUUAGGGCUUAUCAAGCAGUCCCAGCAGUUUAAUCAGAAAUCUGUGAAAAUAAAGACAAAACUUUUUUAUAAGCAACAGAAAUUUAAUUUAUUAAGAGAAGAGAACGAAGGCUAUGCAAAACUGAUUGCUGAACUGGGACAAGAUUUAUCUGGAAAUAUCACUAGUGAAUUGAUCCUAGAAAAUAUUAAAUCUUUAAUAGGAUGUUUUAACCUGGAUCCUAACCGAGUGUUGGAUAUUAUCUUGGAAGUCUACGAAUGUCGACCAGAAUAUGAUGAAUUUUUUGUACCUUUGAUAGAGUCGUAUAUGUAUAUGUGUGAACCUCAAACACUCUGCCAUAUACUUGGAUUCAAAUUCAAGUUUUAUCAGGAACCAAAUGGCGAGACCCCAGUGUCUUUGUACAGAGUCGCUGCAAUCCUUUUGCAACAUAACUUAAUAGAUCUGGAAGAUCUUUAUGUGCACCUCCUGCCGUCCGACCACGCUAUCCUCGAGGAACACAGGCGGGAAAUCGGGGAGGCGAAGCAAAUUGUAAGGAAACUUACCAUGGUUGUGCUCUCUUCCGAAAAGACGGAAGAGAAAGAGAAAGAGAAGGAGAAGGAAGAGGAGAAAAUGGAAAAGCCACCAGAUAACCAGAAACUGGGUUUAUUAGAAGCCAUGUUAAAAAUCGGUGAUUGGCAGCACGCGCAAAGCAUUAUGGACCAGAUGCCUCCGUUUUACGCAACUUCACACAAACCCAUCGCUCUCGCUCUUUGCCAGCUUCUCCAUGUGAUGAUCGAGCCUCUCUAUCGAAGGGUCGGAGUCCUCAAAGGUGCCAAAGGAACCCCAGUUCCCCCUUUGCAAAACAAGAGGGCCCCAAAGCCAGUCGAACAUUUUGAAGACUUAAGGAAAGAAGUGUUCAACAUGCUUUGCUAUCUCGGCCCGCAUCUCUCCCACGAUCCCAUUCUCUUCGCAAAAGUCUUGCGACUUGGGAAAGCCUUCAUGAAAGAGUACCAGUUGGACGGAAACAAACAAGAGGACAGAGAGAAAACGGAGAUACUAUUCAGCUGCUUGCUGAGUAUCACUGACCAGGUUCUGCUUCCUUCUCUUUCUCUAAUGGACUGUAACGCAUGCAUGUCUGAGGAACUCUGGGGGAUGUUUAAAACAUUUCCAUACCAGCACCGGUAUCGUCUCUACGGCCAGUGGAAGAACGAAACGUACAACAGCCAUCCACUUCUAGUGAAAGUUAAAGCUCAGAUAAUUGACAGAGCCAAAUAUAUAAUGAAGCGUUUAACGAAGGAGAACGUAAAACCUUCUGGAAGACAAAUUGGGAAACUGAGUCACAGCAACCCAACCAUUUUAUUUGACUAUAUUUUGUCGCAGAUCCAGAAAUACGAUAAUUUAAUAACUCCAGUUGUUGAUUCAUUGAAAUACCUCACUUCACUAAACUAUGAUGUUUUGGCUUAUUGCAUAAUUGAAGCAUUGGCAAAUCCCGAGAAGGAGAGAAUGAAACACGACGACACUACAAUCUCCAGUUGGCUUCAGAGCUUAGCGAGUUUUUGCGGUGCUGUUUUUCGAAAAUACCCAAUAGAACUUGCCGGACUCCUCCAGUAUGUGGCAAAUCAACUCAAGGCGGGAAAAAGUUUUGACCUCCUCAUUUUGAAAGAAGUGGUACAAAAAAUGGCCGGAAUUGAAAUCACUGAAGAAAUGACCAUGGAACAGCUAGAAGCCAUGACUGGUGGGGAGCAGCUGAAAGCAGAGGGAGGAUAUUUCGGGCAGAUCAGGAACACGAAGAAAUCUUCUCAGAGAUUAAAAGAUGCCCUUCUGGACCACGAUCUCGCCCUCCCACUGUGCCUUCUCAUGGCUCAGCAGCGCAACGGCGUCAUCUUUCAAGAAGGAGGGGAGAAACAUUUGAAGCUGGUGGGGAAGCUCUACGAUCAGUGCCACGACACUUUGGUACAAUUUGGUGGAUUUCUGGCGUCUAAUUUAAGCACAGAGGACUAUAUUAAGCGAGUGCCUUCUAUCGAUGUCCUCUGUAACGAAUUUCACACUCCUCAUGACGCUGCUUUCUUCCUUUCAAGACCUAUGUACGCGCACCACAUUUCGUCAAAGUACGACGAGUUAAAGAAAGCGGAAAAAGGGAAUAAACAGCAGCAGAAAGUCCACAAAUACAUCACGUCCUGCGAGCUGGUGAUGGCGCCUGUUCACGAUGCGGUCAUCUCCUUGCACCUCCCGAAGGUCUGGGAUGAUAUCAGUCCCCAGUUCUAUGCCACCUUCUGGUCCCUGACCAUGUACGACCUUGCGGUGCCCCGGGGUAGCUACGAACGGGAAGUCAACAAACUCAAAAUCCAGAUGAAAGCCAUCGACGACAAUCAAGACAUGCCUCCCAAUAAAAAGAAGAAAGAAAAAGAACGCUGCACAGCCCUUCAGGAUAAACUUCUCGAAGAGGAAAAGAAGCAGUUGGAUCACGUGGAACGGGUGUUGCAAAGGUUGAAGCUUGAAAAGGACAACUGGCUCCUUGCGAAAUCGACGAAAAACGAGACCAUAACCAAGUUUCUGCAGCUGUGUAUAUUUCCUCGCUGUAUCUUUUCUGCCAUUGAUGCUGUUUAUUGUGCUCGCUUUGUGGAACUGGUGCAUCAACAGAAGACACCCAAUUUUUCCACACUGCUUUGUUAUGACCGAGUCUUCUCCGAUAUCAUCUACACAGUAGCCAGCUGCACUGAAAAUGAAGCCAGCCGAUACGGUAGAUUUUUGUGCUGCAUGCUAGAUACCGUAACCCAGUGGCACAGUGACAAAAGCGUAUAUGAAAAGGAAUGUGGUAACUAUCCAGGCUUCAUCACUGUACUGCGAUCCAGCGGUUACGAUGCUGUGAACAAAGCCGACCAGUUAGACUACGAAAAUUUCCGACACGUGGUGCACAAAUGGCAUUACAAGUUAACCAAGGCGUCUGUACACUGUCUGGAAACCGGGGAAUAUACGCAUAUCAGAAAUAUCCUGAUUGUGCUGACCAAAAUUUUGCCGUGGUAUCCAAAGGUCGUGAAUCUGGGACAAGCUUUGGAAAGAAGAGUCCGUAAGAUUUACGAAGAGGAGAAAGAAAAGAGACCAGACCUAUAUGCGUUAGCCAUGGGCUAUUCUGGCCAACUGAAAAGUAGAAAAAUGGUUCCUGAAAACGAUUUCCAUCAGAAGGACCUUCCGACCCGGAACGCAGUGCCCACCAUGGUUCAAAACGGGCCAGGGGGAGCAGGGCUGCCUCCGCUCACGAUAAACGCCGCUAAAUUGGAAGAAAGCACCGCCGAGGAGACAGAUAAGUUGAAGGAGAAGUCUCAGGGCGCGGUUAAAGUGGUCAGCAAAGCCGCCAACGCGACGCCCAAGGUGAUCGCCAGCAAUGGAAACACCAGCAAACUUGUCAAAGAGAAAGAGGACAAAGAGAAAUGCGGGAAGGAGAAAGAGAAGGAGAAGAAAGAGAAAGUCCCCGCUGGCACUCCUGAAGCGAAAUUACUCGGAAAAGACGGGAAGGAUAAGCCAAAGGAAGAGAGGGCGAACAAAGAAGAGAAGGCACGAGAAGCUAAGGAAAAGACACCGAAGGCUGACAAAGAGAAGGAGAAAAUCAAGAGAGAAGAAAAACCACCCAAAGAGGAAAAAUCCAAGAUACUUGUGACCAACGCCGAGUCCAAAUCAAUGGCGGAAAAGGAGAGAGAGAAGGAGCCAUCGAGAGAGAGAGAAGUGGCCAAGGAGAUGAAAUCGAAGGAAGUCAUUAGAGGAGGCGGGGCAGGAGGAGGAGGAGGUGGAGGAGAGAAGAUUCCAAUUGCUGGGUCCUUGAAGUCACCUGUUCCCCGGUCAGAAACUUCAGAUUCCGAAAGGGAACAAAAACGUCGCAAAAUAGAUACCCAUUCUUCUCCAUCACAUUCCUCAAGUGUAAAGGUUAGUAUGGCCUGAGGAAGGCAUCGCCCAUUUUCUAGGCUCUCAUCUAACACGGAAUGCCAGUGUCAACUUCCUUCCUUCAAGCCUGGUGCCAAGUUGAAGCCUUUGGAGGUUAUAUAUAUAUAUAAUAUAUAUAUUUUUCCCCGAUGCAUUUUAAAAACAAAACAAAAUGCAUUCCUUUUGAUGGAUCGGUGGACUCUUUUUUUUCUUUUCUUUUUUUGCCAUUUUCAAGAGUAAAUAAAUCGAAACCUCUCUUUUUUAUUAUUAUUAUUGUUAGAGGAAAAAAAGAAAGAAAGAAAUUAAAGCUUCAAGGACCUAGCACAAAGCGUUGUAAAUAGAGUAUGGAAAUAUCAAGAUUAUUUUUUUUCAUUUUUUUAAAAAAGUGCAAACCAAGCCAGAAGUGCCUCGCCAUUUUUAAACAGCCAGAUAUAUAUAUAUAUAUAUACAUAUGUAUAUAUACAUAUAUACGUAUAGAUUUUUGGAGUGCAGUGGUAGCUACAAGCCAACGAAAUCUCUCGCAGCACGCCGAGCGGAGCGUGAGGGUUUUUUGUUUUUGGUGGUUGUUGUUUUUUUCCUGCCUUGAUCGGGAAGAAUCGAUUGGUAAACUUCGAAGAAUUCGUGGAGAAAACCGGGAAAGCGGAGGCGUCUUACUAUAUCUUCAUCGGGCUGCCUGUUGAACGUCUUCCAGCUGAGCCGAGAGAAGCCUUUGAAAAGUCUUGAAAAGUCCUGGUUUAUUUUUUUUUUAAAAAUAAGCCGCCUUGAUGAUCAGUUCUCCUGUAGUUGUGUAUAUCCAGGCAGCCCACAUGCCGACCUCCUUGCGAGGUUUGUUUAUAUUCCACUGAAUUACCACCCUGUUGAGCCCUGCGCUCUGCGUUAAACGAGAUGUGGCAGCCCAAUCUUCCACUCAAGAAGCCGAGAAAAAAAAAACACCAAAAAACCAGCAGCCGAGCACAGCGCAAACCUCUAAAACAAAAACCCUUCCUGGCUGCAGCCUUCUUGGAAGACUCAGGGUAGCAAUUCCUUGCUCCGUGUUUUAUUUCCUUUUUUUUUUUAUUUCCCCCCAAAAAAACCACCCAUCCUCAUGGAUUCUUUGAGUUUGCAGUACGUUGAAGCAUUGCAACUGACAACCUCAGCGAACUCAAGGAUUCCGCAGUUAAGGUUUGAGUCUUUCUCCCCACCCCACCCCCCUUUCGCCUUCCGAUUUUUAACAAUUGCUUUUGCAGUGACGGCGAGGUCCUUCAAAGCUUUGGCGAAGGAACGCAGCGCAGCUUGGCCAGGUUGUAAGUGGUGUAUGGUUGUGCCAGGCGGCGUUGUCUUGUUUUGACCUAGGCCCAAGUAGUUAUUACCAGACACAAUCAGUUCCUAAAAUAAACGUAUUUUAUUAGAACAGCUGAGAAUUACUUCAUUCUCAGCUUAAUCCAAAUUAAUUCCAAAACGAAGUCCUUCAGAAAAAGUCCUUUGGCCUCAUCACAAACCUCUGUCUUUUUUGGCACCGUGCCAAAAGUUUUCUUGGCAAAGCCCCAUGAAGUUCAGAAACGAGACGCUGACUAGAAAUAAAUGUAGCAAUGUUGCUUUCCGACAAAGUGCCCAAGAGCCGUUGCUGCUCUUUUAAGCCUUAUGGGAGGGGCCAAUCAUCUCCUGGCCUUAAUCCUGAGUCGUCCUUUUUGCUUUAGCUGCUCUUGCCUUCUGGCAGCUCCCGCCCACCCGCCCCAGCACUAUGCCGUCCUAUUUAGCCACAUUUUUAAGGCAUCCGCAUGCAUGCAAAGCCGCACGUGCAAAGCGCGUGCACGGAUGGCCAUGUGCAUGUGUGGACAGUGCACAAGCGAAGUGAGCACGCGCACACGCGCGCUCACAUGUUCGGUGCUGGGCGAACUGGUUGUUAAAUUAUGCGAAGCCCACUUCUGCUUCCAAGCAUAUGGUGGUGUGCGACCUUCCAGAAUGCGUCCUCUCAGAAUCUACCUUCUGUGACGUAAAGGAAUCGGUUGGUCCUUCAAACUUCAGCAGCCGUUUCUGUAAUUAUGGCCAAGUGCAGGAUUUAUGAUUUCAUUAGGAAAGAAACGCAAGUGUUUUUGAUGAUGGAUCUAUCUAAGGUUACGUUGCCUUCCCACUGUACACGAAAACAAACCAGAAGGAAACCAGAAAGUUGGCUUGGGAGACCAACGUGGCUAGAACAAAGCUGAAGAUGCUUGUGACCCAAAUGAGCUGCUGUGGCUGCUUGUUUUAAAUAACUCGCAGGCAAUAUUAGGAACGUGACUGAAUGCCUCUUUCCAUCCUCGUUUUUCCUCUUUAUUACAGACUUAGGAAAUUUAAGGUGCCUUCAAAGCAAUCUCAGCGCUCUUGAGAGGGGAUUUUAUUGUCAUGGUUAACAACAACAACAACAAAAUAACGAAUUUCUCAGUUGCAUUUUGUAAUCCUUCACUGUAUUUCCAGCAUGAUAUGAGACAAUCUACCUGGGAGAGAGAGAGAACUAGACCAGCAUUUUGGUGCAAGAUGGAGUGAAUUGCCUUCGGAAGCGAUGUAGUAAUUUUUGAUCUUGCUUUGACUUAACAGCACUACGUUAACCACUCCGCUCCGGCAUUGUCCAAAAGUAAGGAGAGGGAAGUAGAAAAGAAAGAUUUGGACAAAUCAAGGGAAAGAUCCAGAGAGAGAGAAAAGAAGGAUGAAAAGGAAAGGAAAGACCGAAAAAG